This 503-nucleotide ribosomal RNA is filed under the name Veillonella parvula. Its description in RNAcentral is "bacterial SSU rRNA". It matches the Rfam family "Bacterial small subunit ribosomal RNA", at positions 28 to 500 of the family's 1533-position model. Lineage: Bacteria; Bacillati; Bacillota; Negativicutes; Veillonellales; Veillonellaceae. The record is from RNAcentral.
GACGAACGCUGGCGGCGUGCUUAACACAUGCAAGUCGAACGAAGAGCGACGGAAGCUUGCUUCUAUCAAUCUUAGUGGCGAACGGGUGAGUAACGCGUAAUCAACCUGCCCUUCAGAGGGGGACAACAGUUGGAAACGACUGCUAAUACCGCAUACGAUCUAAUCUCGGCAUCGAGGAUAGAUGAAAGGUGGCCUCUACAUGUAAGCUAUCACUGAAGGAGGGGAUUGCGUCUGAUUAGCUAGUUGGAGGGGUAACGGCCCACCAAGGCGAUGAUCAGUAGCCGGUCUGAGAGGAUGAACGGCCACAUUGGGACUGAGACACGGCCCAGACUCCUACGGGAGGCAGCAGUGGGGAAUCUUCCGCAAUGGACGAAAGUCUGACGGAGCAACGCCGCGUGAGUGAUGACGGCCUUCGGGUUGUAAAGCUCUGUUAAUCGGGACGAAAGGCCUUCUUGCGAACAGUUAGAAGGAUUGACGGUACCGGAAUAGAAAGCCACGGCUAA